Cicer arietinum (chickpea) is the source of this 721-nucleotide non-coding RNA. The record is from RefSeq and is a predicted model, not a curated record. NCBI's taxonomy places the organism in Eukaryota, Viridiplantae, Streptophyta, Magnoliopsida, Fabales, Fabaceae.
AUAUGUGAUGUAUUACCAUCAUUCAGGAUUGCAAUGAUCAGGACCAUGAAGGGUGGAAAAUCAUACUCCCAGAUCAAUGCUAGGAGCACAAAACCAAGCUGCAAGAGGGCAUAGUUUGACAAGUUAUAUGUUAUUGGAAGCUGAAAGGUGGAACAAACAAAGAUCAAUUGCAUAAGAUUUUCUACUACUGAGAGGAUUUAAUUUUGUUUGUUGGGAUAGUGAGGAAAUACACCAGCAAAGCCAUCUGCCUUUUCAAUGAGCUCGUCUACUGGGAGAGCUUCAUUCUCAUCUUUUUCACGACCCAACAAAGACGAAGAAGGGUACAUAUUUGUACCCAUGCCAAGUCUUCUGCCCGUCUCCUUUGCAAUAGCCAACUGAUCUCCUGCAUUGACAUGUAAACUGUCUCGUCAAGACUUCAACAUUUCAAAAAGCAUACCAACAAAAUUAGCUGACAUAAUAAGGUUCCAGUAGAGAGAAAAUUUAUGAGUUACAUUGGAACAUGACAUGACUUAAUAUAUCAGGGGAAACAUAGUCUCUGUAAAAGUCAUGAGGUAACUAUAUGCUUGGUGUCAUUAUACUGCUUUUCCCACUUAUGUAAACAAUGUCAUUAUACUGAUUUUUCAACGUCUCUGUAACUAUAAUGGCCUAUGUAUUUCUAGAUUACUCCUUACAAAAUGAAAAUAGGAUCACCUGAGAAAUCUUAAUUCCAAAUUUUCAUGCA